GUGAGGAAUAUUGGGCAAUGGGCGAAAGCCUGACCCAGCCACGCCGCGUGAGUGAUGAAGGCCUUCGGGUUGUAAAGCUCUGUGGGGAGGGAAGAAAAAGCGCAGGAGUAACUGCCUGUGUGUUGACGGUACCUCCUUAGCAAGCACCGGCUAACUCUGUGCCAGCAGCCGCGGUAAUACAGAGGGUGCAAACGUUGCUCGGAAUUACUGGGCGUAAAGCGCGUGUAGGCUGACAUGCAAGUCGGGUGUGAAAUCCCAGGGCUCAACCUUGGAACUGCACUCGAAACUGCACGUCUUGAGUACUGGAGAGGGAAGCGGAAUUCCGGGUGUAGAGGUGAAAUUCGUAGAUAUCCGGAGGAACACCAGUGGCGAAGGCGGCUUCCUGGACAGUAACUGACGCUGAGACGCGAAAGCGUGGGGAGCAAACAGGAUUAGAUACCCUAGUAGUCC
RNAcentral lists this ribosomal RNA (450 nucleotides) under uncultured bacterium. Its description in RNAcentral is "partial 16S ribosomal RNA". It matches the Rfam family "Bacterial small subunit ribosomal RNA", at positions 354 to 796 of the family's 1533-position model. The record is from RNAcentral.